Molecule: long non-coding RNA, 4052 nt
Filed under: Homo sapiens (human)
Lineage: Eukaryota; Metazoa; Chordata; Mammalia; Primates; Hominidae
Description: HSALNT0241897
Source: RNAcentral
UCAUAACAAGAGAAAUUUAUUGCUCACAGUUCUGGAGCCUGGGAAGUCCAAGAUCAACGUACCAGCAGAUUCAGAUGAAGGCGUGUUCUCAGCUUCAUAGGUGGUGCAUUCUUGCUGCUUCUUCACAUGAUGGAAGGAGUGAACAAGCUCCCUUGGGCCUCUUUUACAAAGAUGGCAAAGAAGGAGAGAAGAGAAGAAGUAGCCAGACAUUGGAAAGAAACAGCUUGACUUCAGAGGAAUGGCUUGAUGGUGGGACUUAGGAGAAGUGUACAGCAGGGGACUGCUGGACUCCAUGGGAAGAUCACCUUCCCACUCCAUCCCCCUUCCAGCUCCCCAUCCUGCUGGGAGCCACUUUCAUCAGUAAUAAAAUUCUCCGCAUUCAUCACCCUUCAAUUUUUUCAUGCAACCUUGGUUGCAAGGACUCAGGUGGAGAGACGAAGGAUCAAGCAAUGUGACUGGUAGAAACUGUGUUAUACAAGGUAAACCAAGAGAGAAUUGUGCAAAAAUGUCUUCAGGGUCACUUCUUUCCCUAACUUGGUCCCUCAGAGUUCUUUCCACUAGAUAUCCAGUGUGUUCAACCUAACUCCUAUCUGCAGUGGGCCUCCAAAUAUUGCACCCCUAUGGGCAGGGCUGUGUGUCAUUUCCCUGGCCCCUAUCUGGGUCAAAACUGUCAUUCCUCCAGGGACCUGCUGGGCAACUAGCAAACUAAUCUUCAAUGUAUUUUACCCAAGGUGUUAAUGACAGAUAAUGGCUUAAUGCAUUACCCCUCCCAGCUAACAUUUCCAUUUUAAUAGAGCCUUUAAAUGCUUUAACCUGAAGGAAACAGCAUGAAAAAUGCAGGGAUAGCAAAUAUCUGGCACCUUUGCUCCUUCCCUGUUCCUGGAAGACAUCUUCAAAUGGUCACUGAGGCUUUUCCUGCUAUGCCUGGACAUACCCUGAGAAGCCCAUAGGGCCCUGGGCAGCCCCUACCAGCCUAUGAUGGGAGUUACCAUGCAAGAUGAAAUCUAUUUGCCAACCUUAUCGUGAAACAAAUAUUUGUCCAGGAGUAAAAAGACCUGAAUUCUACUUUGGGGCUUUGACAUUACCUGGACAUAGGGCCUAAACAAAUUUAUUAGACAUUUCCAAGUCUCAGUUUCCUUACCCAUAAAAUGAGAGGACUGGCAUUAGAGUCAAGCAUUUCCAAAGCAUAGUUCUCAAUCUGCCAGGGACUCUCAAAAUCUGACCUCACAGCUCUCCAAGCUGGUUGCUGCUACCACGUACCUCUUCCCAUUUUUGCCUUGCUUCCCACAAGGGAAGGAAAUUCACUCCCAACUGGGCACCACCUUUCUAUCUCUAUUUGGGGACCUUCCUGUCCCUGAAAGGCCCUGGGAACAUAAUGUAAAGCAACUAUGGGGGCAGCUGCUAAGAAGCCAGAUCUUGUGACACUAAGAGUCCAGUCACGUGGUUCAGAGUCCACAGCAACCUGUGGCGACUAUGCAGUCAUCAGCCAGAGAGGCAGAGCCUCUGUCUGGAGAUGUGUCAGAAAUGGGUGUGACUAGUCCCAGACACAUCAAGUGAGGAAAAAUCAGGUGUGCAGAUUACGUUGUGUAAAUGCCUUUCUAAUUCUCAAUGCUCCAGGAAGGAAUCUCAGAGAUUAAAUUAAGCUGUUAACCCUCUAGGCGCUCCUGUCGUUUAUUGUUAAGGAAUUAAUAGGAAUGCGGGAAUGCAGAUGGCCUGGCUGUCAGCUCGGAGAGGCGAUUUUUCUGAUCUCCAAGGAGGUUUCCAGCAUCUUUCAUUAAGCACUCGUGUACCAACUUGUCAUUUUAACCGAGCAGCAAAGAAACUCCCACUCAACUGCCUACCUCAGGUGCUGGGAGUGCAAUCCUCGGAGGAGUCUUUCUGGGUUGCAGGUGCAGGGGAGGCGCCCAGGUGAUGGGGGUGGGGUGCAGCGAGAAAUGGAUUUAAAGCCACUCCAGGAAGGAAAUCGGAUCCCAAAACCUGGUUGUCCUGGGCACAGGCUUCAGGUGACUGCAGAAGAUUCCUCUCUAGCAAUCCUGAACUGAGCAGAGAUGUGAAAACUUACUUCUUUCCGCUUUCUCGAAGCGCUCCAGGACGCAGGUGGCACGCUCAACGCGGGGAGGCGCCACCUACAGGACAGAGGAAGACCUGCAGCUUGGGCUUGAGAUUUCAACAGUCUGUGGCGGGGGCUGAUGAGGGCGGCCCCUCCUCCUCCUGGAGUAAUAAUAGUCCCUGACAUUUAUCGAAUGCUCUUCUCGUGCCAGACACUGUCCUGAGCACUUGACAUGUAUUAAUGAUUUUAAACCUCACAACAACCCUAUUAGCUUGGUCUCUUGCACCUCUACCCUUUGCCACGAGAAGAGCAUGCCCUUGUCACUUCGGCCUGAGUCCCAGAAUGAGAAGUUACAUGGAGCAGACCUGAACAAGAUUCACAACCUGAACAGAAUCACUGCAGCCAAUCCACAAACCUAAAAUUGUCUACAUUCCUGCCUGGGCAUGGUGGCUCAUGCCUGUAAUCCAGCACUUUGGGAGGCCGAGGUGGGCGAGUCACUUGAGUCAGGAGUUCGAGACCAGCCUGGCCAACAUGGUGAAACCCUGCCUCUACUAAAAAUACAAAAAAUUAGCUGAGCAUGGUGGUGCAUGACUGUAAUCCCAGCUACUUGGGAGGCUGGGUCAGGAGAAUCGCUUUAACUGGGAGGUGGAGGUUGCAGUGAGCCAAGAUCACGCCACUGCACUCCAGAGUGGGAAACAGAGCAAGACUCCACCUCAAAAAGAAGAAGGAGAAGGAGAAGGAGAUUAUCUACAUUCCUGAGGAGGAGAAGUUGUACUUAAACUACCUUGAUCCAACUUCCAGCUUUACAAUCAUUGCCCCCCACCAUGCAUAUAUCAUACAUAUAUACCUGCUAGCAUGAAUACCUGCAUCAUAUCUAGAAUUAAUGGGAAUAGUCAUAGGGCCAAUCUUUCUUAUAUCAAGCAAGCUGAACAAGGGUCCAAGGGAUAAGGCCACAGCUACUUCCUCCUGCUUUAGAACAGAGCUAAAUAAACCUGUUCCUAAGUCUUGUGAAAAAAAAAAUUAGCCAGGCGUGGUGGCGAGUGCCUGUAAUCCCAGCUACUGGUGAGGCUAAGGCAGAGAAUUGCUUGAACCAGGGAGGCAGAGGUCACAGUGAGCCGAGAUCAUGCCACUGCACUCCAGCCUUUGCAACAGAGUGAGACUCUGUCUCAAAAAAAAAAAAAGUACACAGGGGAGGUUGUGGGGAAUUUGGAAUAUUCCCUAAGGAUUUCCUCCAUUGAAGAGGUCUGCUUUAAAGUACUGGGGGUCCACAAACUCACCCCAUUUCCAGCUUGGCCUUGGGAGAAGAGGAGGACAGAGAACAGAAUUCUGGAUUGUUACUAGGUAGUUGGGCUGCAUCAGGAAGACAUUUUGGUAGAAGGAGAGGAAAGAGAGGUAGGAAGUGGGAAGGGAAGCACUAAGGGUUUUUUUUUUGACCCUGAUCCCCUUAGCUAGACAAGCUCAGUGGGGCUUAGGAUGGAGGUCAGGGAUAGCCUAAGAUCCUGUUACUGAAAGGGUAGUCUCCAGCCAGCAGCAUCAGCAUCACCUGGCUCUUAGGCUUCACCCCAGACCUACUGAAUCAGAAACUGCAUUUUAAUCCCUAGGUGAUAAGUAUGUCCAAUAAAAUUUCAGAAGCAUUAGCCUAGAUGCUUCAAUGGGAAUAACUUCUUGCAGUGAGCUAUUGAGGAACUGUGCUGGAUAAUCUCUCUGCCCUUCCAAAUCCACUUGCCAUCCUUAUUCCCCUGCUCUUGGGACUAAGAAGUGAAUUGAUGAAUUCGCUUCCUUUAUUCAUUGCUUCAACAGGCUCCCUUGUCAUCUGGCUUCUGGUUGGGCUCAGCCAAUGGUCAGUGCUCAAGAAGCAGUGACUUAAGUGACAUUAAUAGUGACUUUACCAGCCAGGCAGGGUGGCUCAUGCCUGUAAUCCCAGCACUUUGGGUGGCCAAGACGGGUGGAUCACCUGAGGUCAGGAGUUUGAGACCAGCCUGGCUAACAUGGUGAAAUCCUG